RNAcentral lists this ribosomal RNA (859 nucleotides) under uncultured Planctomycetota bacterium. RNAcentral's name for it is "bacterial SSU rRNA". It matches the Rfam family "Bacterial small subunit ribosomal RNA", at positions 58 to 926 of the family's 1533-position model. The record is from RNAcentral. Lineage: Bacteria; Pseudomonadati; Planctomycetota.
CAAGUCGAACGAAUCCCAUCUGGGUAACUGGGUGGGGGAAGUGGCGAAAGGGGCAGUAAGGCAUGGGUAACCUACCCUGGAGUUGGGCAUAGCCAUUCUAACGAAUGGGUAAUUCCCGAUAGCCUAGCGAGGGGACAUCUUCUUGCUAGUAAAGAGUUUCGCUCUGGGAGGGGCCCAUGUGCUAUUAGCUAGUUGGCGGGGUAACGGCCCACCAAGGCUAAGAUGGCUAGCGGGUGUGAGAGCACGACCCGCGCCACUGGCACUGAGACACUGGCCAGACACCUACGGGUGGCUGCAGUCGAGGAUCUUCGUCAAUGGGCGAAAGCCUGAACGAGCGACGCCGCGUGCGCGAUGAAGGCCUUCGGGUUGUAAAGCGCGAAAGAUGGGACGAAAGCCGAAAGGUUUGACCGAUCAUCAGUAAGCUCGGGCUAAGUUCGUGCCAGCAGCCGCGGUAAGACGAACCGAGCAAACGUUAUUCGGAAUCACUGGGCUUAAAGGGCGCGUAGGCGGGCAUCAAAGUCUGUGGUGAAAUCCGGCAGCUUAACUGUCGAACUGCCAUGGAUACUGGGUGUCUCGAGGAAGGUAGGGGCGUGCGGAACUAUUGGUGGAGCGGUGAAAUGCGUUGAUAUCAAUAGGAACUCCGGUGGCGAAGGCGGCACGCUGGACCUUAUCUGACGCUGAGGCGCGAAAGCCAGGGGAGCAAACGGGAUUAGAUACCCCGGUAGUCCUGGCCCUAAACGAUGGGUACUAGAUAGUAGACUUCACAUGGGUUUACUGUCGAAGCAAAAGUGCUAAGUACCCCGCCUGGGGAGUAUGGUCGCAAGGCUGAAACUCAAAGGAAAUUGACGGGGGCUCACAC